Molecule: ribosomal RNA, 254 nt
Filed under: uncultured bacterium
Lineage: Bacteria
Description: partial 16S ribosomal RNA
Rfam family: Bacterial small subunit ribosomal RNA
Source: RNAcentral
GACGAAGGAUGCAAGCGUUAUCCGGAUUCAUUGGGUUUAAAGGGUGCGUAGGCGGGUCUUUAAGUCAGGGGUGAAAUCCUGGAGCUCAACUCCAGAACUGCCUUUGAUACUGAGGAUCUUGAGUUCGGGAGAGGUGAGUGGAACUGCGAGUGUAGAGGUGAAAUUCGUAGAUAUUCGCAAGAACACCAGUGGCGAAGGCGGCUCACUGGCCCGAUACUGACGCUGAGGCACGAAAGCGUGGGGAGCAAACAGGG